CUUCUUGUUUGUCUGUGAACUAUGCAUGAAGGAGCUAUCCUGAGCCAUGAAUACUGAAAACACUUGAGUGCUUUUCCAUGUGUGAAAACCUUACCCUUUGAAAAAUCCAAGGCCCACCCUGGGCCACACAUGUCGAAUCUGAGCUCAGCUGUUAGGCAGCUCCUCACCUGCGCCAACAGCGAAAGCAAAAGUGGUUCGGCACAGACAUUGUUUAAAAUGGCUGCGUUAAAAAUACCAUCUCGGCUUCACAGAUUUCUGGAGCUGUGAGGAGCAUCCUCAUUUAUGUGCUCUGAUGAAGGACAGAUCUCAUAUAUCGCAGCAACAAAGAUGGCCCCCAGGAGUUCCAUGGACCCUUAUUUCUCAUCAUUUAGAAGGAGAAAGCACCUCUUUCCUCAGUUCCUCUCUUCAGGACUCCCAGUACCCCUGCUUCUGGUGACAGCCCAUGGCAGGUGGGGAGGACGUGCAGAUGGAAAGAAUGAGAAGGGCAGGUUUGGGCCCUCAUGGGUGACAGAAAAGUACCAGAGUUCUGGUUCCUCUUUGAACACACAUGUUCUCUGGGUUUCGCCUUGCAGCCCAAGAAGAGAGGAGGCUUGGAAUCACCACACUUCCCACAGCAAGGGCAAUCUUUAAAGGCAGUAAGGUGUGACGCUCCAGACUGGCAGCUUGGCAAGACAGAGCCCAUGGAUACCAGCACACGGGAAUCUGGACGGCUCACUCUGACAGCAGUCAGCACUGGGAACAAAAGGAAUGGAGGGAAAAAAGCGCAAAUGUAUUUUUACAUAUUGUAGGCAUAUGGCCACAAGACCAGCAGAAAUAUAUUUAAUUACCAAUUGCACGCAUUGAGGAGAAAAA
RNAcentral lists this long non-coding RNA (852 nucleotides) under Homo sapiens (human). RNAcentral's name for it is "HSALNT0340161". The record is from RNAcentral. Lineage: Eukaryota; Metazoa; Chordata; Mammalia; Primates; Hominidae.